RNAcentral lists this ribosomal RNA (641 nucleotides) under uncultured Bacteroidota bacterium. RNAcentral's name for it is "bacterial SSU rRNA". It matches the Rfam family "Bacterial small subunit ribosomal RNA", at positions 28 to 666 of the family's 1533-position model. Lineage: Bacteria; Pseudomonadati; Bacteroidota. The record is from RNAcentral.
GAUGAACGCUAGCUGGAGGCUUAAUACAUGCAAGUCGAGCGGGAUUGGAGUAGCAAUACUCCAUGAGAGCGGCGCACGGGUGAGUAACGCGUACACGACCUACCUCUGACAGGGGGAUAGCCCUGGGAAACCGGGAUUAAUACCGCAUAUUAUUCUGAUUAAUAAAGGAUUGGAAUGAAAGUUCAGGCGGUCAGAGAUGGGUGUGCGUCUGAUUAGCUAGUUGGUGAGGUAACGGCUCACCAAGGCGAUGAUCAGUAGGGGGCGUGAGAGCGUGGUCCCCCACACGGGUACUGAGACACGGACCCGACUCCUACGGGAGGCAGCAGUAAGGAAUAUUGGACAAUGGCCGCAAGGCUGAUCCAGCCAUCCAGCGUGCAGGAGGAAGGCCCUAUGGGUUGUAAACUGCUUUUAUCAGGGAAGAAACCUGUGGAUUUACUCCGCAGCUGACGGUACCUGAAGAAUAAGCACCGGCUAACUCCGUGCCAGCAGCCGCGGUAAUACGGAGGGUGCGAGCGUUAUCCGGAAUUACUGGGUUUAAAGGGUGCGUAGGCGGCUAUGUAAGUCAGGAGUGAAAGUUUGCGGCUCAACCGUAAAAUUGCUUUUGAUACUGCAUGGCUGGAAUUAGGAUGAGGUCAGCGGAA